This is a non-coding RNA of Paramuricea clavata, 1188 nucleotides long. The record is from the annotation of a GenBank genome assembly. Lineage: Eukaryota; Metazoa; Cnidaria; Anthozoa; Malacalcyonacea; Plexauridae.
UUUUUGUAGACUUCAAUCGAAUACAGAAUUGAAACAUUUUUUUAAACUUGUAAUAGCUAAAUGUUUUUUGAACAUCAAUAAAAGCUGGAAAACUUUGGUCUAUAGUCUUUUCUUCUUUAAUUGAUAGGAUUCGUGUUGGGUGGGUCCCCCAUCUAGUUAAAUUCGUGCACUAAACUUUUUUUUCUAGUUUUUGUAGACUUCAAUCGAAUACAGAAUUCAGACGAUCAAGGAAAUGUCACAGAAUAUCACGUGAAAGACAUUUCAAUUCAUGAUAUUGAAGACUAUGCCUUUCAUUUUGAACUUGUAAUAGCUUGCAUGUAAAACUAUAUUAAGCUUGUACUAGCGAGUCAUUGUUGAAUACAGGUCUAAAAAUCUUAACGUAUAUCGACUUAAAGAUUCAAUUCAUGAUGUCCUCCUUUCCAGGCUGAACGAAAUAAGAACUUCAAGAUCUGUAAGAUUACCGAAAUUUCUCAACUGUAUAAUAGUUAAAUGUUUGUUGAACGUCAAUAAAAACUCUAAAACUUUGGUCUAUAUUCUUUUCUUCUCUAUUUGAUCGGAUUAGUAUUAAGGGUGGGUCCACACAACUAUUUUAAAUUCUCACACUAAACAUUUUCUCUAGUUUGUUAUAGACUUCGACCGAAUACAGUAUUCAGAAGAUAUCAUGUGAAAAGACAUUUUCAAUUCAACAUAUCCAAGAUUACCAUUUUGUUAAACUUGUAAUAUAAUUUGUAAAAAGUUGUAAUAGUGAAUCAUUGUUGAAUGAAGGUCUCAGAUAUUCAUGGAUUUCAACUUGAAAGACGAUCUAAUUCAUGAUGUCCUCCUGACUGAAUCAAACCAGGAAAGUUACUCAGUUUUCUGAGACUUGUAAUAGCUAAAUGUCUGUUAAACAUCAAUAAAAACUCUAAAACUUUGUCUAGUCUUGUCCUCUCUAAUUUGUAGUAUAUUAGUACUAGUGCCCCAAUUAUUUAAAUUCGCAUAUUAACAUUUCUAGUUUUUCUUUAGAUUUUCAGUCGAUUCUCAGAAUAUAGAAGUUCAAGAAGCUUGUACGUGUUUCUUGACAAUGGUGACUUGGAACAAGUUGAAAUUCCACGAUGUGUUCGAAACUUUACAAAAGAUUUAGAUAUAUUAUGUAAACUUUCUAAAACCUGUAUAGAUAAAUGUUUGAAUCUAAAUAAAAACUGGAAAACG